Molecule: long non-coding RNA, 331 nt
Organism: Rana temporaria (common frog)
Lineage: Eukaryota; Metazoa; Chordata; Amphibia; Anura; Ranidae
Exons: 2
Source: RefSeq, a predicted model, not a curated record
UCUUUUCCACAGGACAUUCCACAUGGAGUCAGCUAAGCCUGCACCGCAUGUUUCCUAUGUCCUGAUCCUCCUGGGACAGCAUCGCUGCACAAUUAUACAGCACAAGCAAAGAACAAAUCUACUUACAACUUUCCAGUUCCAAGGAGCAGUUCUGCGUGUCUAGAGGAAAUCUGCUGAAGUCCAUGAAGCACAUAGCAGAGACCGUUAUUCUAAGAAAAUCAGAAGGACAAUAUAAAGAGUUUAUAAUACAGCAGGCUCACUGCGCCUAAUACUAAUGUGUCUAAUGGAGGCGGGGGAGAAAAUGAACUAUGAAUAAAAACCAUAAACCACA